Molecule: ribosomal RNA, 464 nt
Filed under: uncultured bacterium
Lineage: Bacteria
Description: partial 16S ribosomal RNA
Rfam family: Bacterial small subunit ribosomal RNA
Source: RNAcentral
CCUACGGGAGGCAGCAGUGGGGAAUCUUCCGCAAUGGGCGAAAGCCUGACGGAGCAACGCCGCGUGAUCGAAUGAAGGCCUUCGGGUUGUAAAGAUCUGUUGACAGGGACGAAUAAGCCAUGCGUAUAGUUUGGUGUAUGACGGUACCUGUUUAGAAAGCUCCGGCUAACUACGUGCCCGCAGCCGCGGGAAUACGGAGGGAGCAAGCGUUUUCCGGAAUUACUGGGCGUAAAGGGCGCGUAGGUGGGUGCUUAAGUCAGGUGUGAAAACUCUGGGCUCAACCUGGGGACUGCACUUGAAACUGGGUAUCUUGAGGGCGGGAGAGGAAAGUGGAAUUCCUGGUGUAGGGGUGAAAUGCGUAGAUAUUAGGAGGAACAUCAGUGGCGAAGGCGACUUUCUGGACUGUACCUGACGCUGAGGCGCGAAAGCGUGGGUAGCGAACGGGAUUAGAUACCCGUGUAGUC